Molecule: ribosomal RNA, 233 nt
Filed under: uncultured bacterium
Lineage: Bacteria
Description: partial 16S ribosomal RNA
Rfam family: Bacterial small subunit ribosomal RNA
Source: RNAcentral
GAUCAGGCUCAGGACGAACGCUGGCGGCGUGCCUAACACAUGCAAGUCGAACGGAGUCGGCCCCGCAAGGGACUGACUUAGUGGCGAACGGGUGAGUAACGCGUGAGCAACCUGCCUUUCAGUGGGGGACAACAGUUGGAAACGACUGCUAAUACCGCAUAAUGCAUUUUGAUCGCAUGGUCGAGAUGCCAAAGAUUUAUUGCUGAAAGAUGGGCUCGCGUCUGAUUAGAUAG